Molecule: long non-coding RNA, 1194 nt
Organism: Oncorhynchus tshawytscha (Chinook salmon)
Lineage: Eukaryota; Metazoa; Chordata; Actinopteri; Salmoniformes; Salmonidae
Source: Ensembl
AUGUUAAAUCAAAAAUAAACUAAUUUGAAUAACCAAUCAACUUAUCUCAUAAAGCAAUGGUUAAAUAGAGUAGAAACUGGUGUUUCUCAUUCAUUUUAUAAUUAAAUCCCACCUGUUUCUAUCAUUUCUAGUGAGAUUGUUCUGGUCUCACCAGAAAGUCAGGAUACAGGGCAUUUGACACCAUUAAAUAUUCCCUCUCCCUUUUCUUUCCCUGUCCUUCACAAACCAUUUCAAAACCUUCCAAACAUUUCCAUCCUUCUGCAAACCCAAUUUACAACUGAAUUGAAAAGACCCCAUCCAAGAUAAAUCCCACAGUAUCAACACCACUAAUGCAUAUUCGUAACCAGUAAAUUGUGUGUGCUGGUGAACCGUAGGUCAAAAACACACCUGAACAAGGCCUCACUUAUCUGGAAGUCUGUUUAUGGCCUAAUCCAGAUACUUUUAUCCUGCUCUCCCCGAUACCACAGUCUCCGGGGACAUUCCAACGAGAGAUAAUGAAACCCCCUUUUCUGGAAAAGAAAUGGUACAUUUCGUUAGCAUUCACUAUGUUACAUUUUAAUCAGCAAGCCAAAAGUAUGAAUUAUAAACCAAACAUGAUAAUUGUAAAUACACUGUCCUUACUCUCAUCAUUAAAUGUAUUAAUUAUAAACCAAACAUGAUAAUUGUAAAUCCACUGUCUUUACUCUCAUCAUUAAAUGUCUGAAUUAUAAACCAAACAUGAUAAUUGUAAAUCCACUGUCCUUACUCUCAUCAUUAAAUGUAUUAAUUAUAAACCAAACAUGAUAAUUGUAAAUCCAUUGUCUUUACUCUCAUCAUUAAAUGUAUUAAUUAUAAACCAAACAUGAUAAUUGUAAAUCCACUGUCUUUACUCUCAUCAUUAAAUGUAUUAAUUAUAAACCAAACAUGAUAAUUGUAAAUACACUGUCCUUACUCUGAUAAUUAAAUGUUUGUUUCAAUCCACCAACAUUUAUUUUAUCUUUUAUUCAGUCCUAUUCUCCAGAACCACCACAAUGUUCAUGAACUAACUGAAAACAUGCCCAGUUCAUUUUAGGUUUAGUAACCCCUUUGCUAAUUCCUCGUUACCCCUCCACCCCUUUCCUACAUUCUAGAAAUCUAUUUCAGAAUAAAACCCACAUCAAAUGUAAAUCUAUAUCAGAAUAAAACCACAAACAACAUCUCAUGAGAUCAAAAAAC